UAUCAUCCUCUCUUCUCCAACACAUACAUGCGUUCUUCUCUUCUUCAUCAUCACUGUGACUCACUCAUCCCUCAACUUCACUCAGACACGUUCAUCUUCCCUCAGCUACUCAUUCAUGCAUAAAAUCACUCCCUCUCCCUCUCAAUCACUCAUUCACUCUCUGACAAAGAAAAAGAGAGGAGAAGGGAAGAAGAGGGAGACCGCGUUGCUGCUGCCGCCAAUUGGAGUUGUUGCCAUCGCUGGAAGGAGCUGAGCAGGCAGGGGAAGAACGUGACGAUGGGCGCAUCUACUGCUGCUGCUACCAUCAACGUUGUUGGGACUCACGAAGAAUUGAACCGUGUUUCUGCUGCCCAGGCUGAUUGGGUUGGUGCUGCCACCACUAAAACAAGUGUCUUGGCUUCUGGCUUCUGUUCUUCUAAGCGCCAGAGCUGCUGGUGCUUCGUUUGAUCUCCCCUGCUGCAAACUAUUUCCAUAUUUAAUUUCCGUCAAAUUCGAAUCCCUUGUUUUGCUGCGAUCAUCAUCACUGCCGUGGAAAGUUGCUGCUGCUGCUGCUGCGGGAAUGAUUUCAGAACAAAAAGAGGGUUUUGCAUUUAAUUUCUGAGUUCGACUAAUCUAGGUAGGGGAUGCAUUUUUAAAUUAAAGAUUUUAAAUUUUUAAAUGCCUGUGAGAUUCAGUAAAUAAAUGCAAAUAUAUUAUAAUUAUUUUGUGUAAUUAAUUAUUGAUAAUGGUUGAUUUGUGGCUGUAAUUGGUGACUGGUUUCAUGUUAUUAUGGUUGUGGAUUAUGUUUGGUUUCCUGAUUGUUUGGAAAUGAUUGGUUGUUGGAAUUCUCGGUUAUGUGGAUUUCUUUGAUUUGGUUGUUGGAUUUAGACUUGCUUGAUGUUUGUGUAUAUUUUUGCAAGUUUGAUUGAGAAUUAUUAUUUGAUGGAGAAAAUUUGAUUGGAUAAUGCUGGGCUGUAUGUUGAAUUGAAUUAGGAUAAGUUGAGAUUGAGAUUGGGAGAACCCUUAAGGGUGGUUAAAUCUAUUUUCAAGAGGAGAUUAUGCCCGUAUUUUUGUAAAUGUAAGGAUUAGGUAGUUAUGUAUCUAUACAUGUGGCUGUGUUUGAUGAUGAUUGUUGAUGAUGAACUGUAUAUAUGAUUGAUGAUUAUGUUGUUUGAAAAUUCUUGUAUCAUGGGCGUACAUGAUGGUGAAUGAUGAUUUAAUGCUCUUGGGGAUGUAAUAAUAUAUGAGACAAGUAGGAAUAACCACAAAUAUGUUAGAAUGAAGAAUUGAUGGGAGUUAGAAGUUUAGGAAACCAAACUUACUUAGUAUAGCUUCAAUACACUUGCUGCAAAAAUUCUGCAAAAUCUUGACAGCAAAUUAUAAGAAUUUCUGGGAACAAUCUAGAUGGUCUUUUUAAAUAAAAUUAUUUUUCUAAUAAACUUCAAGAAGUAUAUACCAUCCCUUAAAAUUUUCAGAAUUUUUUACCGAGUAGAUUGGAUGGAAGAUAUGAUUUUUCAAAAUCUGUUUUUCUCUGCUAAAAUUGUUAAUUUUGAGUGAUGAGGACAGCAUCUUCCAAGCUACUUAAUUUUUGAUUCCCUUAAUAUUUUGAGUUACAACCAAAAUAAUAUUGAAGCUUUGUAUGUGUAGUAUAUCCUGUCCAAUUUUCAGCUCAAUUCAAGCUCUAAAAAGAAAGUUAUUCAAGUUGGAAAUAAUAUUGCUGUUGUUGUGUCAGAACAGAGUGUUACAAAAUUUUAGUCAACUUACCCGAUUUAAUGCUUUUAUUCUAGACAUCCAAUUUGAGUGAAAUCAAUUUUGUAUAAAACUUUGACAUGUUAAACUUACUUUCCUGAAAAUUUCAGAAUUAAUUGAGUUAUAACUUGGGAGUUAUGAUUUUUGAAAGUUUGGACGUUUUCUGCAUAAAACCUAUUUUCGUAUUCUGAAACAACAAAUUCCAAGUCAUAUAUCUUUUGAGUCUGAUUGAAUUUUAACUUAAAACUGGUGGCAAACAAAAGAUUGAGAUGUCUAGAAUAAUUAGGUCCAAAGUGAUUCAUUUCUAUUUUGAGUAAUUAAUUAUAUAACUUGAAAGGUGACUAGUUCACUGAAUUUUCAUGAAUAAACCGAUUAAAACAGAACAUGCUUCACAAUUACAUAACUUCUUCGUAUGAUAUAAUAUGAGGAUAAAACUUGGUUUAAAACCUCACUAAACAAGUGCUCAGUGAGGGAGAGUCUCCGAACUAAUAAAACAUGAUAUAGGACAUAUUUUAUUGGCUAGGCAGAGAUCCCCAGCCAGGAAAAAUGUAUUGGUUAGGAGAAGAGCCCUUGGUCAGGAUGGAUGUACUGGCCAAGUAUGAAUAUUUUGGUGAGGACCAGAGUUGGCAGUAAAUAUUCUAGGCAGGACCAGAUUUGAUUAGUGGUAGCAUCGAUGGACCCAGAGCGAAUUGUUUGGUGAGAAGGGGUGAGGUCGAAGGGGUGAGGUUGCUCUGACGAAACCAAAGCGAAUUAUCUGAGAAGGAAAAACGUGUUGGGUAGGGAUGAAUUAUUGAUAGCCCCAAUGGACCCAGAAUGGACUAUCUGGUGUGAUGGAGUGAGGUUCGCUCCGACGGAACCAGAGCAGAUUAUCUGGUGAGAAGGAGAAACGUAUGGGGUAGGAAUGUCUACCGAAAAAGUUGUUUCUCUUUCGAGCGCAUACCUUUGAGUUGCAUUACUGAUUGAGUUGAGAAACUAUAUCCGAGCAUAACCUCAGGUAAGUCGGGAUGCGAAUAAACAACCGUUGCAUGAGCUCAUGGUUUACACUAGAGACAGGCAUGCAUCAUAUUGCAUUGGAUUGUGUUUGUUUAUUUUAUUUUUUGUGAUUGUGCUGUUUGUCUCAUUGCGACCUAUUUGUGUAUUGAUUUGGGUGUCUUACUUGUGUUGUUGGUCAUGAAUGUAUUGAGGUAAUUGAGAAUUGAUUUAUAUGUUUGAGGAAUGGUUAGUGUGACUGAGAACUGAUUAGGAACGUAAAACUGUGUUAAGAUUUAAGAAAUUUUUAGGUUUGAUAAAGAAAAUUGUUUUUGGAAUACGAGUUAACUAUUUGUAUUUAUUAUUUCUUUUUGUGGCAUUUGCGUUCUGUAUUGAGAAUAUGUGGUUUGUUCUCACCCUAAAUUUUCUAAAACCUUGAGAUACAGACAGAACGAAUGAAAGAUUUGUUUCGGAUAGUUACUUUUGGGUUUAUUUUCCCUCGUCCUUGAUGU
This is a non-coding RNA of Arachis ipaensis, 3209 nucleotides long. The record is from RefSeq and is a predicted model, not a curated record. Lineage: Eukaryota; Viridiplantae; Streptophyta; Magnoliopsida; Fabales; Fabaceae.